RNAcentral lists this ribosomal RNA (301 nucleotides) under uncultured bacterium. RNAcentral describes it as "partial 16S ribosomal RNA". It matches the Rfam family "Bacterial small subunit ribosomal RNA", at positions 509 to 807 of the family's 1533-position model. The record is from RNAcentral.
CAGUCGCCACGGUAAUACAGAGGAUGCAAGCGUUAUCCGGAAUGAUUGGGCGUAAAGGGUACGUAGGCGGCUUUGUAAGUUAGAGGUGAAAGCCUGGUGCUCAACACCAGAACUGCCUUUAAGACUGCACCGCUUGAACGUCGGAGAGGUGAGUGGAAUUCCGAGUGUAGAGGUGAAAUUCGUAGAUAUUCGGAAGAACACCGGUGGCGAAGGCGGCGACCUGGUCCUUUACUGACGCUGAGGCGCGAAAGCGUGGGGAGCAAACAGGAUUAGAUACCCGAGUAGUCCCUGUCUCUUAUAC